UACGAAGGGGGCUAGCGUUGUUCGGAAUUACUGGGCGUAAAGCGCGCGCAGGCGGCCAUUCAAGUCAGGGGUGAAAGCCCAGAGCUCAACUCUGGAACUGCCCUUGAAACUGUAUGGCUUGAGUAUGAGAGAGGUGAGUGGAAUUCCCGGUGUAGUGGUGAAAUGCGUAGAGAUCGGGAGGAACACCAGUGGCGAAGGCGGCAUCCUGGACCGACAUUGACGCUGACGAGCGAAAGCUAGGGGAGCAAACGGG
RNAcentral lists this ribosomal RNA (253 nucleotides) under uncultured bacterium. RNAcentral's name for it is "partial 16S ribosomal RNA". It matches the Rfam family "Bacterial small subunit ribosomal RNA", at positions 524 to 776 of the family's 1533-position model. The record is from RNAcentral.